This 21-nucleotide non-coding RNA is filed under the name Caenorhabditis elegans. The record is from RNAcentral. Lineage: Eukaryota; Metazoa; Nematoda; Chromadorea; Rhabditida; Rhabditidae.
UACUUCUUUUGCACUUUGUUC